GGCGGGGCGUGCUAAUGGGCGGCCGGCGCUGUGGGCUGCUGUUCUGCGCUGAUCGGUUCUCAUUCGCAUGCAGGGUAAAGGAGGCGAGAGAUCCACAUCUCUAGCUGAACAGCCGCUCGAGGAAAUGUCUCCUCCCUACCCAGCCAGAAGUUUGAUCCUUCCGAUCGAAGAGGUACCGUAUCAGUUUCCAUUUGCAAGACGUAUGGUUGGAAAAGGAUUGAAGUACUGGUGUAACACUAAUAAUUCUUACUAAGAUGUGAUUUCUAUGUCAAUGUGUAGAUGAUUCCUGAACAAUUUCUUAGGUAUUGGUAAGUCAUAUUGGAGACAAAUUGAGUUGUGAUAAUGCUAUGAUACUAAUGAUGACAAUGGUACCUAUGGCAAUGUGGGAGAUUAUAUAUAUGGCGAUGGGCAUUACGAUCAAGACGACGAUAAUGGUGAUGAGUCUGAUGAUCUUCGAGUCAUGCAACCAAGUGAAGUUAUGAAGUUCAUGGACAAUUUAGCUUAUGCACAAUGUUUGGACCAUUAUAUCUUAGUCAUUAUUUUGUUUUUCAUUUGACACUUCUUAGAUGCGUCGGUAUGGCCAAUGUAAUAUUGAUUCACCUCAUUAGAC
Long non-coding RNA from Aegilops tauschii subsp. strangulata, 610 nucleotides. RefSeq lists it as uncharacterized. NCBI's taxonomy places the organism in Eukaryota, Viridiplantae, Streptophyta, Magnoliopsida, Poales, Poaceae. The record is from RefSeq and is a predicted model, not a curated record.